AAUGAACGCUGGCGGCAUGCCUUACACAUGCAAGUCGAACGGCAGCAUGACCUAGCUUGCUAGGUUGAUGGCGAGUGGCGAACGGGUGAGUAAUACAUCGGAACGUGCCUUUUAGUGGGGGAUAACGUAGCGAAAGUUACGCUAAUACCGCAUAUUCUCUGAGGAGGAAAGCAGGGGACCUUCGGGCCUUGCGCUAGAAGAGCGGCCGAUGUCGGAUUAGCUAGUUGGUGAGGUAAAGGCUCACCAAGGCAACGAUCCGUAGCGGGUCUGAGGGGAUGAUCCGCCACACUGGGACUGAGACACGGCCCAGACUCCUACGGGAGGCAGCAGUGGGGAAUUUUGGACAAUGGGCGCAAGCCUGAUCCAGCCAUGCCGCGUGAGUGAAGAAGGCCUUCGGGUUGUAAAGCUCUUUCGGCUGGGAAGAAAUCGCACCCUCUAAUACAGGGUGUGGAUGACGGUACCAGCAUAAGAAGCACCGGCUAACUACGUG
Molecule: ribosomal RNA, 490 nt
Filed under: uncultured bacterium
Lineage: Bacteria
Description: partial 16S ribosomal RNA
Rfam family: Bacterial small subunit ribosomal RNA
Source: RNAcentral